AAAAGGAAAGUUACUGUGCUGGGACCCAAUUUUAAUGUUUCACCCAGACACUGGGGAGUUCAAGUUUAUUAGUGAUCUUCUGUGGGGGAAGAUAGGAGGAAGGAUUAGGGACUGACUUCUCCCUCUGCUGCUUCUAGAUUAUUUCACCUAUCUGCUAAAUGGUAUCCCGCUGAAGUCAUUGGCAAAAUCCCCGUUUCAGUGGCAGCUGGCACUUCCCCUUUUCAGUGCUGUUACAUGUUACUACUGGACACAAACGGGUGACAUUUCCUGUGUGGGAUUUCAGAUACCUUGGGUAAUUCUGCUGCUUUUGUCUCCAAAGGGAGAAGAGGAACGGUUCACCUUCCUUAUGCAAAACCCAGAGGACAAAAGGGCUGAGAUACCUGCCAGUUUAAAGGAGUUGCUAGUGCACUGACAGAACAGCAGGAGACACAGUGAGUUUAUGGUACAAAUCUGGACUUGGAAACAGUACUGUCUGGGUAAAAAAGGGCUUUGGGACCACAGACCAUGCCAUUUGCUUGGAACCACAGGGGUGCAGAGGUGAGAGAUGUCAGUCUUCAUCUUAGCCUUAGACAGGUGCAACAAAAGCACGCCACAGCGGCCUUGUCCCCCACACAGACAAUGCUGGGCCAUAACUCUUCUUGCAGGCAGCAGAAAGAUGUUAUGCCCUCAAGAAAAACAAACCUCUGAGCUUUAAGGCCUGGGCACUAUGUCAGCAACAGGUAAGCAAGUCAGCACAGAUCAUAUCUGAUCCAGGGGGAGAACAGGGCCUCUUUGGACACUUGCCAGCUCUUACUGCUCACAAGUGAGGGCUGGGUUGCUUGUUCUCUCUGACAAGGAUGAGGAAGGCAUUAGGGAAAUGAACCUGCCUGCCCAGUGCUCCAGAUUACAGAGUCUGCCUGGUUCACAUAACCCUCCCUCCUAGGGAGGCAUUCAGUCUGCCACACCUGAGUACCACCAAUUAGCUGUUUCUGUUCUAGGUAAACAGCUGGGGGACAGCCAUGCCCCAGGCCAGCUGGAUAUACUGGGGAUACUCUCUCCUUCCAUUGCCCACCUUGCCUUUGGAAGUCCUCAGAAUACAGUUUCGUAUCAAUACAGAAAGCAGAGCUUUCUCUCCCCUCCUUCCCCAGCUGCAGCAUCUAGCUGGAUACGAUACUGAUCCUGCUUUGGUCUCAGCAGAGGUUUGUGGAACAGGGAGGAGGAGGAGCAGAGAAGCAGGAAGGCAGAGAGCAGAUUGGGGGGGUACCAGCACAGGGAAAAGCAAAAGCACC
Long non-coding RNA from Gavialis gangeticus (Gharial), 1268 nucleotides. RefSeq lists it as uncharacterized. NCBI's taxonomy places the organism in Eukaryota, Metazoa, Chordata, Crocodylia, Gavialidae. The transcript has 3 exons. The record is from RefSeq and is a predicted model, not a curated record.